AGAACGAACGCUGGCGGCAUGCCUAACACAUGCAAGUCGAACGCUCUCUUCGGAGGGAGUGGCGCACGGGUGAGUAACGCGUGGGAACCUGCCUUGGAGUGGGGGAUAACCGAUGGAAACGUCGGCUAAAUACCGCAUACGUCCUGAGGGAGAAAGAUUUAUCGC
Molecule: ribosomal RNA, 165 nt
Filed under: uncultured bacterium
Lineage: Bacteria
Description: partial small subunit ribosomal RNA
Rfam family: Bacterial small subunit ribosomal RNA
Source: RNAcentral